CCUUCAAAUAGCUAAAAACCUUGUGAGGAGGUUAUGUUACAUUCCCCGGGAAAAAUUGCAUAACUUGAACCAAACAUGGGUAUCUUAUAUUACAAAACAAAU
Molecule: long non-coding RNA, 102 nt
Organism: Ipomoea nil (Japanese morning glory)
Lineage: Eukaryota; Viridiplantae; Streptophyta; Magnoliopsida; Solanales; Convolvulaceae
Exons: 3
Source: RefSeq, a predicted model, not a curated record